RNAcentral lists this ribosomal RNA (115 nucleotides) under Eucalyptus grandis. Lineage: Eukaryota; Viridiplantae; Streptophyta; Magnoliopsida; Myrtales; Myrtaceae. The record is from RNAcentral.
UUGUGUAGUAGAUUACUAACGCAUGGGAUCCCAUAAGAACUCCGAAGUUAAGCGUGCUUGGGCGAGAGUAGUACUACGAUGGGUGACCUCCUAGGAAGUCCUCGUGUUGCACCCC